This 598-nucleotide ribosomal RNA is filed under the name uncultured bacterium. RNAcentral describes it as "bacterial SSU rRNA". It matches the Rfam family "Bacterial small subunit ribosomal RNA", at positions 258 to 866 of the family's 1533-position model. The record is from RNAcentral.
UAAUGGCCCACCAAGGCGACGACGGGUAGCCGGCCUGAGAGGGCGAUCGGCCACACUGGGACUGAGACACGGCCCAGACUCCUACGGGAGGCAGCAGUGGGGAAUAUUGCGCAAUGGGCGAAAGCCUGACGCAGCGACGCCGCGUGAGGGAUGAAGGCCUUCGGGUUGUAAACCUCUUUCAGCAGGGAAGAAGCGAAAGCGACGGUACCUGCAGAAGAAGCACCGGCUAACUACGUGCCAGCAGCCGCGGUAAUACGUAGGGUGCAAGCGUUGUCCGGAAUUAUUGGGCGUAAAGAGCUCGUAGGCGGUCUGUCGCGUCGGAUGUGAAAAUCCAGGGCUUAACCCUGGACCUGCAUUCGAUACGGGCAGACUAGAGUUCGGUGGGGGAGACUGGAAUUCCUGGUGUAGCGGUGAAAUGCGCAGAUAUCAGGAGGAACACCGGUGGCGAAGGCGGGUCUCUGGGCCGAUACUGACGCUGAGGAGCGAAAGCGUGGGGAGCGAACAGGAUUAGAUACCCUGGUAGUCCACGCCGUAAACGUUGGGCGCUAGGUGUGGGGAACCUUCCACGUUCUCCGUGCCGCAGCUAACGCAUUAAGCG